Molecule: non-coding RNA, 88 nt
Organism: Saccharata proteae CBS 121410
Lineage: Eukaryota; Fungi; Ascomycota; Dothideomycetes; Botryosphaeriales; Saccharataceae
Source: the annotation of a GenBank genome assembly
GGUUGCAUGGUGUAAUGGUUAGCACUUCAGAUUCUGAUCCAAACAUCAGUACAUUCUGGAAAUCUGAGUUCAAUUCUCAGUGCGACCU